UCGAAGCGGAAACGAUCCUAGCUUGCUAGGAGGCGUCGAGCGGCGGACGGGUGAGUAAUGCAUAGGAAUCUGCCCGGUAGUGGGGGAUAACUUGAGGAAACUCAAGCUAAUACCGCAUACGCCCCAAGGGGGAAAGCAGGGGAUCUUCGGACCUUGCGCUAUCGGAUGAGCCUAUGUCGGAUUAGCUAGUUGGUGAGGUAAUGGCUCACCAAGGCCGCGAUCCGUAGCUGGUCUGAGAGGAUGAUCAGCCACAUCGGGACUGAGACACGGCCCGAACUCCUACGGGAGGCAGCAGUGGGGAAUAUUGGACAAUGGGCGAAAGCCUGAUCCAGCCAUGCCGCGUGUGUGAAGAAGGCCUUCGGGUUGUAAAGCACUUUCAGCGAGGAAGAACGCUUGUGGGUUAAUACCCCGCAAGAAGGACAUCACUCGCAGAAGAAGCACCGGCUAACUCCGUGCCAGCAGCCGCGGUAAUACGGAGGGUGCAAGCGUUAAUCGGAAUUACUGGGCGUAAAGCGCGCGUAGGCGGCUUGAUAAGCCGGUUGUGAAAGCCCCGGGCUCAACCUGGGAACGGCAUCCGGAACUGUCAGGCUAGAGUGCAGGAGAGGA
Molecule: ribosomal RNA, 606 nt
Rfam family: Bacterial small subunit ribosomal RNA